AUGAGAUCGUAUUUGAGUGGUUUGCUUUCAGCUCCAGUAGAGACCAGCUGCCUCUCACUCUUGAUAAUCUGGACCAGUUUGAACAUGAAAUGCUGAACAAGAAGAAAAAGCCUAAAGGCUCAUCAAAGGGAAUCCAGUUUAACAAGACAAGAGACAUAAAUUCUAUCCAGGAACUAAUCCGAGCAGAAGAGGAAGAGGAGAGCUUGUUAGAUUCCUAUUCAACACCUGCCAAAGUAAGAA
Sinocyclocheilus rhinocerous is the source of this 240-nucleotide long non-coding RNA. RefSeq lists it as uncharacterized. The record is from RefSeq and is a predicted model, not a curated record. Lineage: Eukaryota; Metazoa; Chordata; Actinopteri; Cypriniformes; Cyprinidae. The transcript has 3 exons.